CACAUCCACCACAUAGCCCCCCUUUGGCAUUUUCUGCUGAUUCCUGCACACACCUAGACACUUUUCCAGUUGUCUACCUCAGGACCACAUCCCUCGUCUGCAGCUAGGCGUUUGGAGGACAGGAACAGGACAGGGCACUCACACUCUACACCACCAACAGCACCACCACAGACAUGUCGGACUCAGAGACCGCCGCCGCCCCAGCAGAGGCCCCCCGUCCCCGCUGCAUGUGCCAGCAUCAAGGCUGACCUGGACAAAUGCGUGGCAGGGAAUGGACCAGAGGGCUGCAAAGACCUGAUGGAGGCUUUCGCUGCUUGUGUGAAGAGUGCAGCUGAGGGGACGUCAUGAGGAGUCGCCCUAUAACCUCCAAUGUCCACUGCACUGAGUCCUCCAAGUUCCCAGCAUUCCCUUCUGCACAACGGCACUGGACUGAAUGAUGGAGAAAGAUGAUUACGACCAUGGUGUUGCAUACAUUGUGUUGAUUCGAGCUGAAUUUGGGAUCUGGCGGCAGUAACCACAGUUUCCUCCCUCUGUCCUCCCCCUGCUUUAGGCUUAUCUGGUGUCCCUCAGUCUUACCACCAUUCCCCUUCUCCCUCUAUGGCUGACCUACAGCUAAUCGACUUGUAGACAAUUCCAGAGAGCUGAUGGGCUGUAAUGUUAAUUGUCGACUUGAGAUGAAUACUUAUAAAUGGAAAUAAACUAUCAAAUACUUGGUAUAAAAAUAAA
Long non-coding RNA from Labrus bergylta (ballan wrasse), 726 nucleotides. RefSeq lists it as uncharacterized. Lineage: Eukaryota; Metazoa; Chordata; Actinopteri; Labriformes; Labridae. The record is from RefSeq and is a predicted model, not a curated record.